RNAcentral lists this ribosomal RNA (253 nucleotides) under uncultured bacterium. RNAcentral's name for it is "partial 16S ribosomal RNA". It matches the Rfam family "Bacterial small subunit ribosomal RNA", at positions 524 to 776 of the family's 1533-position model. The record is from RNAcentral.
UACGGGGGGGGCAAGCGUUGUUCGGAAUUACUGGGCGUAAAGCGCGCGUAGGCGGCUUUUCAAGUCAGACGUGAAAGCCCCAGGCUUAACCUGGGAAUUGCGUUUGAUACUGUUAAGCUAGAGUGUGGAAGGGGCUACUGGAAUUCUUGGUGUAGCGGUGAAAUGCGUAGAUAUCAAGAGGAACACCUGCGGCGAAGGCGGGUUGCUGGGCCGACACUGACGCUGAAGCGCGAAAGCCGGGGGAGCGAACGGG